This 513-nucleotide ribosomal RNA is filed under the name Acinetobacter towneri. RNAcentral describes it as "partial 23S ribosomal RNA". It matches the Rfam family "Bacterial large subunit ribosomal RNA", at positions 697 to 1208 of the family's 2925-position model. The record is from RNAcentral. Lineage: Bacteria; Pseudomonadati; Pseudomonadota; Gammaproteobacteria; Moraxellales; Moraxellaceae.
UAGUUGCUGGGUAUAGACCCGAAACCGGGUGAUCUAUCCAUGAGCAGGUUGAAGGUUGGGUAACACUAACUGGAGGACCGAACCCACUGUCGUUGAAAAGCCAGGGGAUGACUUGUGGAUAGGGGUGAAAGGCUAAUCAAACUCGGUGAUAGCUGGUUCUCCCCGAAAGCUAUUUAGGUAGCGCCUCGGACGAAUACCAUUGGGGGUAGAGCACUGUUUCGGCUAGGGGGUCAUCCCGACUUACCAAACCGAUGCAAACUCCGAAUACCAAUGAGUACUAUCCGGGAGACAGACUGCGGGUGCUAACGUCCGUAGUCAAGAGGAAAACAAUCCAGACCGCCAGCUAAGGCCCCAAAAUCAUAGUUAAGUGGGAAACGAUGUGGGAAGGCAUAGACAGCUAGGAGGUUGGCUUAGAAGCAGCCACCCUUUAAAGAAAGCGUAAUAGCUCACUAGUCGAGUCGGCCUGCGCGGAAGAUGUAACGGGGCUAAAACUAUGUGCCGAAGCUGCGGAUG